Molecule: unclassified non-coding RNA, 262 nt
Filed under: uncultured Pleosporales
Lineage: Eukaryota; Fungi; Ascomycota; Dothideomycetes; Pleosporales
Description: sequence contains ITS1
Rfam family: 5.8S ribosomal RNA (bases 1-105)
Source: RNAcentral
GAAAUGCGAUAAGUAGUGUGAAUUGCAGAAUUCAGUGAAUCAUCGAAUCUUUGAACGCACAUUGCGCCCCUUGGUAUUCCAUGGGGCAUGCCUGUUCGAGCGUCAUAUAUACCUUCAAGCUCUGCUUGGUGUUGGGCGUUGUCACGCGACUCGCCUCAAAUCAAAUUUACUGGCAGUGGCAUAUGGUGCAGCACAUGUACCUGCCCCGUCCGCUAAACCUUAAUUUGACCUCGGAUCAGGUAGGGAUACCCGCUGAACUUAA